GUUCAGUGAACUGGUCAAAGCAGCUGAGAGAUGCACCUGCUGACUUUGUGCUCUUGUCUGCUAUUUCCUUUCCACUUAAGUCAUUCUCAACAAAACAGUGAGAGAGGUUUGAUUACCUUCGGAAGUAGCUGGCCCAGGCAUGCAAUCAGGGCUUAAUUGGAAACCCCGAGUGCCAAGUCUGGCCCCUCAGAUGAGCAGAUUCCCUCCAGGGGGAAGGAUAAGUAUAUAUUUCUUUGUUGGGGUGGGGGGGGUCUCUUGAAGCCUCUCUGCACUUAAUAACUGAAAUCAAAGGCUCCCUGGAUGAACCCACUUAGGCAAGAGAAAGGUUUUUCAUCUGCCUAACACAAUUUCAAGCAACUCCCAGUGAACGCAAUUCAUCUCUUUAAAAGACACUGAGAGAGUCGGGCAUGUUGGUGCAUGCUGUAGUCCUUGCUACUUGGGAAGCAGAGGCAGAGGAUCACUUGAGCCCAGAAGGUUAAGGCUGCAGUGAGCUAUGACCACGCCACUGCAUUCCAGCCUGGGUAACAGAGUAGGACCCCAUUUCUUAAAAAAAUACUGAGGGAAAGAGAGGAAAUUCCAUUUUGAGUAUUCUACCCAGAGCUAUCAGAACCAGGGCUCAGCAGGCGAGUGAGGUGGAGAUUGAGCAAGCCUCUUGGGCAGGACAGGUGAGACUCAUCUCAGCUCCCAGAGUUUGUAGCAAAUGUGCAGGAGGCAUGCAUUCCAGCUGUCUUCACUCAGGGAGGACUUAAGUUCUCGUUGUCCCUGGGUUUCAUAGCUCCAGGUCUGGGCAGAGGUCUGUAUCUGCUGCCAUCAUGCGUUGUGCCUUUGUCUUCGUUAGAACUUCAUAAGUAUGGAAUCAUCCAGGCUGUCUGUGACUUACCGUGCUGGGCUCGGCUGUCAUCGGAGAUCAACCGGCAUUCAGCCAGCACUUCUCCAAGGUGAUCUGAAGCGUCUCAGGCUACAUGGCUCCCACCUAUUAUUUUUUGGUGCUGGCUUGUAUUUUGAACACAUCUGCAAGACACCCUUGGCUGACUCAUUAAUUCCUUGUCAUGCUCUCAAGAGAAAAGCUUAAUGGGGCUAUUUCCUAUAUUUUUAUCCAGCAUGAUGAGCUUUUUCCUUGAGUUUUUCUAAAUUUUCCUGUAGGUCCUGAGAAUCCGUCCCCUGAUCGGCUCUUGAUGUAGUUUCCAGGCUUGGUGUGAGGAAGGUGGCUAUUUU
This 1215-nucleotide long non-coding RNA is filed under the name Callithrix jacchus (white-tufted-ear marmoset). RNAcentral describes it as "lncRNA (ENSCJAG00000076803.1)". Lineage: Eukaryota; Metazoa; Chordata; Mammalia; Primates; Cebidae. The record is from RNAcentral.